RNAcentral lists this ribosomal RNA (497 nucleotides) under uncultured bacterium. RNAcentral's name for it is "partial 16S ribosomal RNA". It matches the Rfam family "Bacterial small subunit ribosomal RNA", at positions 28 to 507 of the family's 1533-position model. The record is from RNAcentral.
GAUGAACGCUGGCGGCGUGCCUAAUACAUGCAAGUCGAGCGAACGGACGAGAAGCUUGCUUCUCUGAUGUUAGCGGCGGACGGGUGAGUAACACGUGGAUAACCUACCUAUAAGACUGGGAUAACUUCGGGAAACCGUAGCUAAUACCGGAUAAUAUUUUGAACCGCAUGGUUCACAAGUGAAAGACGGUCUUUCUGUCACUUAUAGAUGGAUCCGCGCUGCAUUAGCUAGUUGGUAAGGUAACGGCUUACCAAGGCAACGAUGCAUAGCCGACCUGAGAGGGUGAUCGGCCACACUGGAACUGAGACACGGUCCAGACUCCUACGGGAGGCAGCAGUAGGGAAUCUUCCGCAAUGGGCGAAAGCCUGACGGAGCAACGCCGCGUGAGUGAUGAAGGUCUUCGGAUCGGAAAACUCUGUUAUUAGGGAAGAACAUAUGUGUAAGUAACUGUGCACAUCUUGACGGUACCUAAUGAGAAAGCCACGGCUAACUACGUG